AUGAACGCUGGCGGCGUGCCUAAUACAUGCAAGUCGAGCGAACGGACGAGAAGCUUGCUUCUCUGAUGUUAGCGGUGGACGGGUGAGUAACACGUGGAUAACCUACCUAUAAGACUGGGAUAACUUCGGGAAACCGGAGCUAAUACCGGAUGAUAUUUUGAACCGCAUGGUUCAAAAGUGAAAGACGGUCUUGCUGUCACUUAUAGAUGGAUCCGCGCUGCAUUAGCUAGUUGGUAAGGUAACGGCUUACCAAGGCAACGAUGCAUAGCCGACCUGAGAGGGUGAUCGGCCACACUGGAACUGAGACACGGUCCAGACUCCUACGGGAGGCAGCAGUAGGGAAUCUUCCGCAAUGGGCGAAAGCCUGACGGAGCAACGCCGCGUGAGUGAUGAAGGUCUUCGGAUCGUAAAACUCUGUUAUUAGGGAAGAACAUAUGUGUAAGUAACUGUGCACAUCUUGACGGUACCUAAUCAGAAAGCCACGGCUAACUACGUG
Molecule: ribosomal RNA, 496 nt
Filed under: uncultured bacterium
Lineage: Bacteria
Description: partial 16S ribosomal RNA
Rfam family: Bacterial small subunit ribosomal RNA
Source: RNAcentral